GUUGAGGAGGCGGUGACCGUGGCAGUGUAGGUGGAAGCAGCGGUGGAGGAGGAGGAUGAGGUAGCCAUCACUGUUUUUUAUAUAUAUAUAUAUAUAUAUUUAAAAAAAAAAAAAAUUUUGAUGGCGACUUUGCAUUCGGAUGUCAUCCAUAUCAACUUUCGAUGCCAGUUUCUACGCCUACCAUGGUGACCACAGGAAACGGGGAAUUAGGGUUCCAUUCUGUACAGGGCCCCUGAGAAAUGGUUACCACAUGCAAGGAAGGCAGCAGGCGCGCAAAUUACCCACUCCCGGCGCGGGAAGAUAGUGACGAC
Molecule: non-coding RNA, 311 nt
Organism: Pelobates cultripes (western spadefoot toad)
Lineage: Eukaryota; Metazoa; Chordata; Amphibia; Anura; Pelobatidae
Source: the annotation of a GenBank genome assembly